RNAcentral lists this ribosomal RNA (301 nucleotides) under uncultured bacterium. Its description in RNAcentral is "partial 16S ribosomal RNA". It matches the Rfam family "Bacterial small subunit ribosomal RNA", at positions 509 to 809 of the family's 1533-position model. The record is from RNAcentral.
CAGCCGCCACGGUAAUACGAAGGGUGCAAGCGUUAAUCGGAAUUACUGGGCGUAAGGCGUGCGUAGGCGGUUUGUUAAGUCUGCUGUGAAAUCCCCGGGCUCAACCUGGGAAUGGCAGUGGAUACUGGCAAGCUAGAGUGUGUCAGAGGAUGGUGGAAUUCCCGGUGUAGCGGUGAAAUGCGUAGAGAUCGGGAGGAACAUCAGUGGCGAAGGCGGCCAUCUGGGACAACACUGACGCUGAGGCACGAAAGCGUGGGGAGCAAACAGGAUUAGAUACCCCGGUAGUCCCUGUCUCUUAUAA